Sinocyclocheilus rhinocerous is the source of this 1704-nucleotide RNA transcript. It is a transcript of the gene named protein lifeguard 2-like, with no coding region annotated. The record is from RefSeq and is a predicted model, not a curated record. The transcript is spliced from 13 exons. NCBI's taxonomy places the organism in Eukaryota, Metazoa, Chordata, Actinopteri, Cypriniformes, Cyprinidae.
AGCAAACUUUAAUUUUUGGGUGAACUAUUCUUUUAAAUAUCUCAUCAAAUAUGCUCUACUGUCUUUCAUUGCUCUUACACUUCUCCCUGUUUUGGUGCUGUGGAAAAAUUCCGGAUCUCUCUGGACAAAUGUUGCAGUAGUGAUACGCAGUUUAAUGUGUGUCAUGGGGGAAAGGCUGCUCCCCUCUUGUGCAGCUUGAUUGGUACAGUCCAAGCCUCAGUCAAUGGUGUUUUAAAACCUCGAUGUUGCUAGAAUGUGCCUUUUAGACUGAGGGAGGGGGUUUGUGCUCACAGAGCUGUGGUUUAGUACAGCAGUACAGCAUCAUCACCAUCUGUGUGCAGCAUCCCAGACAGGUGCGAAGAGUACAGACUAAAGCUCUAAGAUAGACAUAACGACUUAAGUAAGCUAAAUUAGAUUCAAAACUGAGACCAUGACCCAGGGAAAGGUUUCAGUAACAAGCAAGUCAAACAAUGACUCGGAUGUCCAGCCGAUGGCUUCAGUUCCUCCAAGUUAUGAGGAAGCAACUGCUGGUGGAAGCCCUUGUUAUAGUGGAGCCUAUCCUGGAGAUGGUGAGAUGCUCACAGAAUUCAGCUGGGAUGACCAAAACAUCAGGAGGAUAUUCAUCCGCAAGGUGUACACCAUCCUUAUGAUCCAGCUAUCUAUCACAAUUGCCUUUGUGGCUCUUUUCGUUUUCUGUGAACCCGUGAAAUAUUACAUACAGACCAACCCUGGCUGGUACUGGGCAUCAUAUGUAGUGUUUUUUGUCACAUAUCUGACUCUAUCCUGCUGCCGUGGACCCCGGAGGCAAUUCCCAUGGAAUCUGAUUCUGCUCAUUAUCUUUACUCUGUCUCUUUCUUACAUGACAGGAAUGUUGUCCAGCUACUACAAUACUAAAUCUGUCAUCAUAUGCCUGGGUAUUACUGCCUUGGUGUGUCUUGCUAUUACUAUCUUUAGCUUCCAAACCAAGAUUGAUAUUACUUCAUGCCAAGGUGUGCUGCUAGUCUUCUGCACAGUAUUGUUUAUUUGUGGACUUGUCCUGGCAUUCACCCUGCCCUUUGGCUAUGUUCCAUGGUUGCACGCUGUGUACGCUGUAUUGGGAGCAAUACUGUUUUGCUUGUUCCUGGCAUUUGACACACAGAUGCUGAUGGGGAAAAAGCAAUACACCAUAAGUCCUGAGGAAUACAUCUUUGCCACUCUCAGCAUAUACCUGGACAUUGUGUACAUCUUCUCUUUUAUUCUCCAGUUGUUUGGAACUCCUGAACGGGAGUGAAUAUGCUGUUAACCUGAAGCUCUAACGGCUCUCCUGAGUGUCUUUUGUUUCUCUGAUCUGAGUGAUCCUGUCUUUCCAGCAUGAUUUGGAUCUUCAGGGCACAUUGUUGUGUUUAAGCCCCUCACCUCAGCUUUACGAUGUGCCAUGCAUUUAUCCUGUAGCAUGAAGGAGGUCUUGCAUAUACAUUGCAUAUGUACACUGGUAAGACUUGAACAACAUUCAGCAGUUUUACAAAUGGUGUCAUAGAAAACAAAACAGAAAAUAUUAAAUGCACUGGUGCCGUGAAACCUAUACGAGGUCAUUAGCAGUGAAAGUGCAUGAAAUGGAGCACAAACAGCAUCACACUGAGGUGAAACUGUUUAGUAGGAUUUAUCCAUCAGUGUCCACCGCAUUCAUCUUUGUGUCUGACCCUGCAAAAGUUUCAUAUGUGAUAU